GAUGAAGAACGCAGCGAAAUGCGAUAAUUAAUGUGAAUUGCAGAAUUCCGUGAAUCAUCGAGCCUUUGAACGCACAUUGCGCCUCAUGGCAUUCCGUGAGGCAUGCCCAUCUCAGCGUUAGAAAAUAUUCUCAAAUUUUAGUUUUGUGCUAAAAUUUGGAUCAUGUCAAAGAAGCUAUUACUAUUAUUGUGAUCGCUCUUUGGAAAUUGAUAGGUCUUUGAGUUGCUACUCAUAGAACGUGAUGAAUCUUUCUUCGUUCUAUUGUAAUUCACUCUGGUAGUCCUAAAACUUGUAUGCCUGAGGCAUAUCUUGUAAUUUGACCUGAGAUUGGGUAGGGAUACCCGCUGAACUUAAGCAUAUCAAUAAGCGGAGGA
This 374-nucleotide unclassified non-coding RNA is filed under the name soil metagenome. RNAcentral describes it as "partial contains internal transcribed spacer 2 and large subunit ribosomal RNA". The stretch from base 1 to 120 matches the Rfam family "5.8S ribosomal RNA", at positions 35 to 154 of the family's 154-position model. The record is from RNAcentral.